GACGAACGCUGGCGGCGUGCUUAACACAUGCAAGUCGAACGGAAAGGCGCUGCUUUUGUGGGGUGCUCGAGUGGCGAACGGGUGAGUAACACGUGAGUAACCUGUCCUUGACUUUGGGAUAACUUCAGGAAAAUGGGGCUAAUACCGGAUAGGAGCUCCUGCUGCAUGGUGGGGGUUGGAAAGUUUCGGCGGUUGGGGCUGGUCUCGCGGCUUAUCAGCUUGUUGGUGGGGUAGUGGCUUACCAAGUCUUUGAGGGGUAGCCGGCCUUGGAGGGUGACCGGCCACAUUAGGACUGAGAGAGGGCCCAGACUCCUAUGGUACGCAGUAGUGGGGAACAUUACAAAAUAGGGGGAAGCCGGAGGCAGAAGCGUCGCGAGCGGGAUGACGUCUUACGGGUGAUAAACCGAUUUCGCCUGUGACGUAGCGUUAGUGACGGUAAUGGGUAAAGAAGCAACGGCUAACUACGUG
Molecule: ribosomal RNA, 468 nt
Filed under: uncultured bacterium
Lineage: Bacteria
Description: partial 16S ribosomal RNA
Rfam family: Bacterial small subunit ribosomal RNA
Source: RNAcentral